Non-coding RNA from Ictidomys tridecemlineatus (thirteen-lined ground squirrel), 1602 nucleotides. NCBI's taxonomy places the organism in Eukaryota, Metazoa, Chordata, Mammalia, Rodentia, Sciuridae. The record is from RefSeq and is a predicted model, not a curated record.
CGCGAAGCAGCACAACCUUGUGGUUGUUAUGUCUGUGUCCUGCCACUCGGGCUGGGCCUUGCUGCGGUAAAAUGCCAAAGGUGAAAUGCCUGGCGGCCCUUCUCGGAGCCCUGCUGUGACAAGGAGAGGCCUCAGCAAGGGGUGCAUGAGCCACAGAGGAGCAGCUAUCCCACAGCUCGCCCCACACAAAGAAGACUGAAUGACACCAUGUAGGAUGCAAAUGGCUCCCCUUUGUGCCAGUGCACAGCAGAACCAGGUGCCGCGCUGAGUCACUUACUGCAAUAUUCCUAACCCUUCAACAGUCCUGCAGGGCGUUCCCUGUGCCUCCAUCACCACCUCCCACAGAGCCCCAGCACAGACCCACAGGCAGCCAGCGGGCGGCCAGAGGAACACAGGAACCAGGAACAGAGAGCGGGGAUUUCCGGGAGCCGGACUCUGCGCUCCAGACUUUGAUAGAAAGGACUGGAAACCGGCCUGAUUCUCCACCAAAGGUGACCUGGGCUGGGCACUGCACUUUCUUCAUCUCCCCGUCCUGAGAAACUGGGAGGCAGGUGCCAUUUACCUUCACUGUGCAGAUGAGGGACUGAAAUGUGAGGUCAUUCACAGCUGCCAGGUGGCGCGCUCCGGACUCGAUCCCAGGACUUCUGGGUCCCAGACUAGAGCAUUCUCUACUCCACCGCGGCUGCCUCUAGGAUCGUCUUGAAGCUAUUUCCCUCCUUCGGUGUGGUCCCUGUCAGAGGUGCACCAUCCAAGCCCCCACCGCCACUCACCUGGGCACUCAUGUGCCUCCUGAUUGGUCUCCUGGUUCCCCUUCUUGGUCCCAUCACCCAUGUUCACAACAGCCAGCGCUGACCUUUUCAUGAGUGACCACGUCAUACACAUGGAAAAGAAGACCCAGCUCCUUACUGUGUGUGGAAUAUCAGACUUGACGAGAUCUGGUCCCUGUCCCUCUCCCGCCUCAUCUGGCACUUUGCAUCCUCUCAGCCACCACACUAUGGCCACGCUGGCCUCCUUUUUCCUUCCUCUUUCCUACCCCGGGAUCUUUGCACUUGAUAUCUCUUCUCUUAUCACUUUGUCUGAUGCCCUGUUUUAUUUCCUUACAGCACUUCUAUCUGAAAGCAUACUCCUUAUUGACUUCUUGGGUGACCCUUUUUUGUUCCUUUUGCUUGCCUUUGCUGGGUAGCGUAAGCUUCACAAGAUAUUUUGGUCAUGUUCCCCCUGUCGUCCUCUUGCCUAGAACAACAUCUGCCCAUAGCAGGAGUCAGUAAUGACCCACUGGGUGAAAAAAAGACACGAAGGAGGCUCACAUGCGGAUGUUCCCAGAAUGCACCCUGAGCUCAGAGACAGGAGUGUAGGCAGGGUGAGAGGGCAGAGAGUGGAAGGCAACCCCGCCCCCUGGAAAACACAACCGGGUCCCUCCCUGCAGCCCCAGGCCCUCCCUGUUUGGAAACCUCGGCCUGGCUGGCUUCUCCUGCUACAGCCUGUGUCCCUGAGGAUAUUCCAUACCUCGGGAUAAACCGGCCUGUCUCUCUGAAGCAUCAAUUUGACUUGAUUAUUUGGCGGGAAGCAUUGUUUUUAUUAAACAGGAAUUUUAUUUUGCAA